Molecule: transfer RNA, 70 nt
Filed under: Dodona dipoea
Lineage: Eukaryota; Metazoa; Arthropoda; Insecta; Lepidoptera; Riodinidae
Description: tRNA-Val
Source: RNAcentral
CAAAUUAGAGCUUGAAAAUAAGUAUUUCAUUUACAUUGAAAAGAAAUUAAAAAUUAAUUAAUUAAUUUGA